Long non-coding RNA from Apodemus sylvaticus (European woodmouse), 755 nucleotides. RefSeq lists it as uncharacterized. The transcript has 3 exons. The record is from RefSeq and is a predicted model, not a curated record. NCBI's taxonomy places the organism in Eukaryota, Metazoa, Chordata, Mammalia, Rodentia, Muridae.
GCCACCAGGGGCCGCUGUCACGGCAGUGCUGGGCGUCGAGCGCUGGCUUCUUCCCGCGCGACUCUCUCAGACGCCGGCGUCCCCGGUCCUGUAGAUCAGCAAAGCAUUUUGCAGAGGAAGAAACUUCAUUUUAAAGAGUUCACAUGGCUGGCCUGUUGUCACCGAACCUGCAGAUAGAAGAGGCAACACCCGUACUCAGCCCCACAAACACCUGGUGUGUCAGCUUACACCUGUAAUUUCUACACUGCAAGAUGGGAGGUGAUGACAGGAGACUCUGAAGCUCACAGGCCAGCUAUCCUUGAUAUGCAGAGCAACAGCCACAACAAGAGAGACUUCUCUCAACUAGGUGAAGGAGGGAACCAACUCCACAAGUCCUCCAAGCUCCACACAUGUACUGAGCAGCUGUGGACCCCACCUUAAUAAAAUACACUCCAUACCAUUGUUUUUCCAUUGAUGGUUUUUAAAAGAUCAUUCCAGGACUUUCCUUUGCACAGAUGUACAGAAAGGUUCGCCUAUCGUGUUCAAGGCCCCAUGCAUUAAUCCCAGCACCACCAAAAUCAAAGAUUUUUUGUUUUUAUUUGCAGUUAAGAAAAAGUCAUUUUUAACAAUGCCAUCUUCACGUCUUUAAGGACGGUUCAGUGGUUAAGAACACUGCAAGAGUAGUAGCCAGAAACCUGAGUUCCAUUCCCAGCAGCCUCAUGGGAUCUUGCAAUGGGGUCUGAUUCUCUCUGCUGGUCAUGAAGACAGGACACACA